RNA transcript from Acinonyx jubatus (cheetah), 2295 nucleotides. It is a transcript of the gene named glutaredoxin 5, with no coding region annotated. The transcript has 3 exons. NCBI's taxonomy places the organism in Eukaryota, Metazoa, Chordata, Mammalia, Carnivora, Felidae. The record is from RefSeq and is a predicted model, not a curated record.
GGGGGCGGGCCGGGCUGCCGCGGGCCCGGGGAAGGCUCCCGGGGUGAGCCGAGGUCCCGGGCCGUCGAGGGCUCCGGCCAGCGUGCGGGAAUGAGCGGGUCGCUGGGCCGGGUGGCGGUGGCUCUGCUCCGCUGGGGGCGCGGCUCCGGCGGCGGCGGCCUUUGGGGCCCAGGCGUGCGGGCGGCGGGUUCGGGCGGCGGCGGGGGCGGCUCAGCCGAGCAACUGGACGCGCUGGUGAAGAAGGACAAGGUGGUGGUCUUCCUCAAGGGGACUCCGGAGCAGCCCCAGUGCGGCUUCAGCAACGCAGUGGUGCAGAUCCUGCGGCUGCACGGCGUCCGCGACUACGCGGCCUAUAAUGUGCUGGACGACCCCCAGCUCCGGCAAGGGUGCAGUCACGAAGUAAGUUGCAAAAAAGGUAGUCAUGGCAUAAUGCCGUUCGUGUAUACAGACGUUACCGGUGUGAAACGGCCCGACGUGUUGCGGACACAUGCCAGUUGUAAGUAUGGUUCGUGGGCAGGGGUGGGACGUGCCAGCCAGAGGCCACCUGCGGAGGUCUAGAACCUGUCCUUUGGAUUCCUAGAAACCCGGAUGGAAAUCAGGCCCGGCCGUUUGCCAGCACUGUGACUUUGGUUAAAGAACUUCUCUGAGCCUCAGUUUCUUCCUCUGAUAAAUAGGGACUAAUUAUGCCUUCCCGGAAGGACUCUUACAAAGGUUAAGUGAGGGUGAUCUCAUGGGGGUGCUGACAUCAUUAUUUCCUAGGAGGACUUCAGGAGGAGGUGAUGUGACUUGCCCCAGGCAGAGUUAACCUGCAUCAGACUCCGAAGCUCCUAUGGUGAAAAUCUACCAGGAAAAAAAAAAGGAAACUCUUAUCAUUUGUUUGUUGUCCAAACCAGGAACGAAGUCUGAUGUUCUGAAAUGGGAUGAAUUUUGAAAAGUCCCUUUCGAAAGCUCUGGAAGUACUUUUUUUCCACUCUGGUUUGAUGCUUUGGAGUAUUAAUUUUUUUGGUGGGGCAGUAGGUAGAGGUAGAACCGGUUUUGUAAGACCACCUCCGUCGUCACUCCAGAUUCCUAGUGUCACCCUAUGUAGAACUUCGCGGUCAGUACUUUGGUCCCAAAUUGAAUCAUUGUCAUCUAUCAUCUUUAAAAUGCCAUUGUCAUUAAAAUCCACUCUUGGAUACGAUUUUCUCAUUUUCACGAGUUUCUCCGAUCCUGAGUUAUUUGGAGUGAAAAUUAACUACCACUGUAUAUUGCAGGUUUUGAGAAUUAAAAAGUGUGAGAAAUUAGCCAUGUUUAAACAAUCAAUGGUGGACCGAUGGGAUUCAUUUUAAUUUUCAACUUGUGAGCCGCGGUCUCUUAUUAUCAGAAGUUACUCGCUUCGUGCUAUAGGAAUCCACUGGUUAUCUCGUUAAAUAUUUAAACUUGUAAUCAGACUUCUAAAAAAAGGAACGUAGUAUUUUUUUUAAGACGCUGAAGCUUUGCCUUGCUAUCAGCUGCCUGUAACCUCUGUUACUUUAAAAGCCAAAGAAGCAGGUAGGUUUCGUUUUGAUCAACUGUCAGCUAGUAGGCCCCUUGGCCACUGUCACAAUGCCAUCAUGGGCUCCGAGGCGCGGUGCUUCUGAGUUCCUGAAAUGUAAGUUAUUGGGCAAGAUAGUGUGACUCUGGGGUUUGGAAGGAGUCCCAGCUCCCUCGCACGUGACUGGGGGGGGCGGGGAUGUUCAGGAAGCUUGGAAAGCCCACUUGCUGGGUAGUUUUAAUGGUGGCGUGUCUGCCUCUUCUGUCUUGCCUGGACAUGUGAUCUGCAGCAGCAUGAAAUUAAUGAAGGAAUUGAGCCUAAAGCUUUGAUUGAGUGUGGUACUAUAAAUACGAUUGAUGGAAGCAAAUCAUUCUUUUACUUAACAAAGAUCUUAUGUAAGAAAACUACUUUUUUGGAUCAGAUGCGUGUGGUUUUCGGGCGACCUCAGAUGGCAAAUUUACUCUCAUUUAUGGUGCGUUUCAAAAAUUGUAGGGACUCACCGAAAGAAUCAGUAAAUAUUCAUUGUCUUGGAAAGCUUCACACAAUGUAUUACCAAUUGAAAAAGACCCAGAUGUAAAAGCACGCACAUUAGUGGCACAUGCACACAAUACAGAAGGUUCUUAAGAAGCUUUCAAAGAAUUACAAGCGAUUCGUGUUGACUUUAAACAUUUCUUAAUUCCCACACCCACUCUCGGUCACAUGAAAGUAAAAAAAGAUGGAUCGCUGGCUUCUUUGUGAAGUAAGUUCUAACAGACUAUUUAAGGACAGAGCUUUUUUUUUUU